Molecule: ribosomal RNA, 253 nt
Filed under: uncultured bacterium
Lineage: Bacteria
Description: partial 16S ribosomal RNA
Rfam family: Archaeal small subunit ribosomal RNA
Source: RNAcentral
UACCCGCAGCACAAGUGGUGGUCAUUAUUAUUGGGCCUAAAGCGUCCGUAGCUGGCCUGUUAGAUGCCUGGGUAAAUCGAUGCGCUCAACGUAUCGAACUCCGGGUAGACCGGCAGGCUUGGGACCGGGAGAGAUGUGAGCUACUCGAGGGGUAGGGGUAAAAUCCUGUAAUCCUUCGGGGAGGACCAGUGGCGAAGGCGUCACAUUAGAACGGCUCCGACAGCGAGGGACGAAGCCCUGGGGCGCAAACCGG